This 21-nucleotide microRNA is filed under the name Homo sapiens (human). Its description in RNAcentral is "hsa-miR-4724-3p". Lineage: Eukaryota; Metazoa; Chordata; Mammalia; Primates; Hominidae. The record is from miRBase by way of RNAcentral.
GUACCUUCUGGUUCAGCUAGU